ACGGCCACUGCCGCCCGCUAUGUCUCGGUCGUGGGUUCGUUAUCCAGUUGUGCGUCAUUCUAAGCCGUUCUGUACAUUUAUACUGGAUAUUAACUGGAGUCAUUUAGCUCUGCUGAUGCUGUUUGCCGUGUGUUUUGCAUCAGUGCUUCGUGACAUCGGCUGUAUUGCGUGUUUUCGCCGACGGCUUACUACCACAAUGGCGGGAUCUGCGUUCGCCGCCUUCGUGUCUCGGUGCGUCUUUGUACGUCGCACGUUCGGAUAACACUUUUUCCGACGGCUGGACAUCCUUCUUGUACCUUGGCGCUAGCUGGAUGACGGGACCUCAUCAUGAUCAGUGUAUUGCUUGCAUAUGUCUAUAAGAACCGUCACGUGUGGCCUGUGACAGCAAGCUUUUGUGGGCAGCCAGUGCUCUCCUACGAAGGCUGGCCUACUCUGGCAGCGGCGGCAAUCAUCUUCGAGAUUUAUCCAUGAUCACCUUUACUGCUAUUUGUCACUCUUGUUAAUUACACUUUCUGCAUCUUUUCUAAUUUAUUAGGUAAUAAAGUACGAGUAUGUGACAUGGUGUGAAGUUGAUGUCUUGCUGC
This is a non-coding RNA of Dermacentor andersoni, 584 nucleotides long. NCBI's taxonomy places the organism in Eukaryota, Metazoa, Arthropoda, Arachnida, Ixodida, Ixodidae. The record is from RefSeq and is a predicted model, not a curated record.